This 450-nucleotide ribosomal RNA is filed under the name uncultured bacterium. RNAcentral describes it as "partial 16S ribosomal RNA". It matches the Rfam family "Bacterial small subunit ribosomal RNA", at positions 354 to 796 of the family's 1533-position model. The record is from RNAcentral.
GUGGGGAAUAUUGGACAAUGGGCGAAAGCCUGAUCCAGCCAUGCCGCGUGUGUGAAGAAGGUCUUCGGAUUGUAAAGCACUUUAAGUUGGGAGGAAGGGCAGUAAGUUAAUACCUUGCUGUUUUGACGUUACCGACAGAAUAAGCACCGGCUAACUUCGUGCCAGCAGCCGCGGUAAUACGAAGGGUGCAAGCGUUAAUCGGAAUUACUGGGCGUAAAGCGCGCGUAGGUGGUUCGUUAAGUUGGAUGUGAAAGCCCCGGGCUCAACCUGGGAACUGCAUCCAAAACUGGCGAGCUAGAGUACGGUAGAGGGUGGUGGAAUUUCCUGUGUAGCGGUGAAAUGCGUAGAUAUAGGAAGGAACACCAGUGGCGAAGGCGACCACCUGGACUGAUACUGACACUGAGGUGCGAAAGCGUGGGGAGCAAACAGGAUUAGAAACCCGGGUAGUCC